Molecule: small RNA, 207 nt
Filed under: Arabidopsis thaliana (thale cress)
Lineage: Eukaryota; Viridiplantae; Streptophyta; Magnoliopsida; Brassicales; Brassicaceae
Description: ATSL167240
Source: RNAcentral
AAGAGAUUUUCGAAGAAAAAAUAUGGAUAAUGUGAAAAGUUUAGAAGGUAUGACACAUAUUGAUUAGACAAAAUCAUAAGAGGAUGGAAAGAGACAAUGUAAGAAAAAAUUGAAACAAAUAAAACGAGUUCUUGCAAAAAGAUAGGAAUACUAUUAGCUCUCUGUAAAAAAGUUGUGAAGACAGAAAUUCAUAUACAUAUUGAAAAA